GAUGAAGAACGUAGCGAAAUGCGAUACUUGGUGUGAAUUGCAGAAUCCCGUGAACCAUCGAGUCUUUGAACGCAAGUUGCGCCCGAAGCCAUCAGGUUGAGGGCACGUCUGCCUGGGCGUCACAUAUCGUUGCCCAAUGCCUAUUGCAGUGCAAUAGGAAUUUCUAGGGCGAAUGAUGGCUUCCCGUGAGCGUUGUUGCCUCGCGGUUGGUUGAAAAUCGAGUCCUUGGUAGGGUGUGCCAUGGUAGAUGGUGGUCGAGUUAGAACGAUACCGAUCAUGUGCAUGCUCCCCAAAAUAUGGCCUCUAUGACCCACACGCGUCUUUAGACGCUCAUGACGAGACCUCAGGUCAGGCGGGGCUACCCGCUGAAUUUAAGCAUAUCAAUAAGCGGAGGA
This 395-nucleotide unclassified non-coding RNA is filed under the name soil metagenome. Its description in RNAcentral is "partial contains 5.8S ribosomal RNA, internal transcribed spacer 2, and large subunit ribosomal RNA". The stretch from base 1 to 122 matches the Rfam family "5.8S ribosomal RNA", at positions 35 to 154 of the family's 154-position model. The record is from RNAcentral.